GAUCCGGCUGUGUUUACUCUGAAGGGCUGACGCCAGAGAGGACUGAGCCUGUUUACAGAGACUGGGGAGGGAACCGGACUGUGCAGAACUUCCCUUAGACAACAGACGGCUCCGAUGAUGAUCAGCUGUGACCUUUGACCCCUCACCUGCAGACUCACCUGCCCUGUCCACCUGAGAGGGGGGGGCGGGGCCCGAGGAGCUGACGCCAUGGCAACCACCUCCUCCCUGCUUAGCAGAGGUCUGGGUCUGGUUCUGGUGGAGUUCCAGUAUGAGUACCAGGGCCGGGACGGCGCGCUGGUCUCCAUCAAACCCAAC
Perca flavescens (yellow perch) is the source of this 315-nucleotide long non-coding RNA. RefSeq lists it as uncharacterized. The transcript is spliced from 3 exons. The record is from RefSeq and is a predicted model, not a curated record. NCBI's taxonomy places the organism in Eukaryota, Metazoa, Chordata, Actinopteri, Perciformes, Percidae.